Molecule: unclassified non-coding RNA, 329 nt
Filed under: soil metagenome
Description: partial contains 5.8S ribosomal RNA, internal transcribed spacer 2, and large subunit ribosomal RNA
Rfam family: 5.8S ribosomal RNA (bases 1-120)
Source: RNAcentral
GAUGAAGAACGUAGCGAAAUGCGAUAAGUAAUGUGAAUUGCAGAAUUCAGUGAAUCAUCGAAUCUUUGAACGCACAUUGCGCCCCCUGGUAUUCCGGGGGGCAUGCCUGUCCGAGCGUCAUUACAACCCUCACGCUCAGCUUGGUAUUGGGCCCCGCCGACCCGGCGGGCCCUAAAGUCAGUGGCGGUGCCGUCCGGCUCCGAGCGUAGUAAUUCUUCUCGCUCUGGAGGUCCGGUCGUGUGCUCGCCAGCAACCCCCAAUUUUUUUCAGGUUGACCUCGGAUCAGGUAGGGAUACCCGCUGAACUUAAGCAUAUCAAUAAGCGGAGGA